Myotis lucifugus (little brown bat) is the source of this 75-nucleotide non-coding RNA. NCBI's taxonomy places the organism in Eukaryota, Metazoa, Chordata, Mammalia, Chiroptera, Vespertilionidae. The record is from Rfam.
CACUCAGGGGGGAGGUCCCUUCAGCCCGGUUUGCGAGAGGGCGCAGGCCAGGCCGAGGGACCCCACCGGUGCACG